This 364-nucleotide ribosomal RNA is filed under the name Rhodopseudomonas sp. RNAcentral's name for it is "bacterial SSU rRNA". It matches the Rfam family "Bacterial small subunit ribosomal RNA", at positions 355 to 736 of the family's 1533-position model. Lineage: Bacteria; Pseudomonadati; Pseudomonadota; Alphaproteobacteria; Hyphomicrobiales; Nitrobacteraceae. The record is from RNAcentral.
UGGGGAAUAUUGGACAAUGGGCGCAAGCCUGAUCCAGCCAUGCCGCGUGAGUGAUGAAGGCCCUAGGGUUGUAAAGCUCUUUUGUGCGGGAAGAUAAUGACGGUACCGCAAGAAUAAGCCCCGGCUAACUUCGUGCCAGCAGCCGCGGUAAUACGAAGGGGGCUAGCGUUGCUCGGAAUCACUGGGCGUAAAGGGUGCGUAGGCGGGUUUCUAAGUCAGAGGUGAAAGCCUGGGGCUCAACUCCAGAACUGCCUUUGAUACUGGAAGACUUGAGUGUGGCAGAGGGGAGUGGAACUGGGAGUGUAGAGGGGAGAUUCGUGGAUAUUCGCGAGGACACCAGUGGCGAAGGCGGCUCACUGGGGCA